GGAGAGAUGGGUGAGUGGUUAAAACCGCUGGUCUUGAAAACCAGUGUGGGCGCAAGCCUGCCGGGGGUUCGAAUCCCUCUCUCUCCG
This 87-nucleotide transfer RNA is filed under the name Elusimicrobiota bacterium. RNAcentral describes it as "Elusimicrobia bacterium (groundwater metagenome) tRNA-Ser". It matches the Rfam family "tRNA". From Rfam's summary of the family: Transfer RNA (tRNA) molecules are approximately 80 nucleotides in length. Their secondary structure includes four short double-helical elements and three loops (D, anti-codon, and T loops). Further hydrogen bonds mediate the characteristic L-shaped molecular structure. tRNAs have two regions of fundamental functional importance: the anti-codon, which is responsible for specific mRNA codon recognition, and the 3' end, to which the tRNAs corresponding amino acid is attached (by aminoacyl-tRNA synthetases). tRNAs cope with the degeneracy of the genetic code in two manners: having more than one tRNA (with a specific anti-codon) for a particular amino acid; and 'wobble' base-pairing, i.e. permitting non-standard base-pairing at the 3rd anti-codon position. Lineage: Bacteria; Pseudomonadati; Elusimicrobiota. The record is from RNAcentral.